Molecule: non-coding RNA, 29 nt
Filed under: Homo sapiens (human)
Lineage: Eukaryota; Metazoa; Chordata; Mammalia; Primates; Hominidae
Source: RNAcentral
UGAAGCCAGAAUUUGCAAUCUUGAUGUUU